CCUACGGGAGACAGCAGUAGGGAAUAUUGCACAAUGAGGGAAACCCUGAAGCAGCAACGCCGCGUGGAGGAUGAAGGUUUUCGGAUUGUAAACUCCUUUUGUUAGAGAAGAUAAUGACGGUAUCUAACGAAUAAGCACCGGCUAACUCCGUGCCAGCAGCCGCGGUAAUACGGAGGGUGCAAGCGUUACUCGGAAUCACUGGGCGGAAAGAGCGCGGAGGCGGGAUAGCAAGUCAGAUGUGAAAUCCUAUGGCUUAACCAUAGAACUGCAUUUGAAACUGUUAUUCUAGAGUAUGGGAGAGGUAGGUGGAAUUCUUGGUGUAGGGGUAAAAUCCGUAGAGAUCAAGAGGAAUACUCAUUGCGAAGGCGACCUGCUAGAACAUAACUGACGCUGAUGCGCGAAAGCGUGGGGAGCAAACAGGAUUAGAUACCCUUGUAGUC
This 440-nucleotide ribosomal RNA is filed under the name uncultured bacterium. RNAcentral's name for it is "partial 16S ribosomal RNA". It matches the Rfam family "Bacterial small subunit ribosomal RNA", at positions 338 to 795 of the family's 1533-position model. The record is from RNAcentral.